Molecule: long non-coding RNA, 1289 nt
Filed under: Malus domestica (apple)
Lineage: Eukaryota; Viridiplantae; Streptophyta; Magnoliopsida; Rosales; Rosaceae
Description: long non-coding RNA (MDOM_LNC001412)
Source: RNAcentral
GAUAAUUUCACUACUACUGAGAAUAAAAUACAAUAAACUUCGGGACAAGAUGUCACAUUAUACAUAAGCAUAUACCAAAUACUAUGAAAGAAAAUAAAUUGCAUAUACGAAAAAGUUUGAGAGUAUUAAAAAACAUAUGAAUUAUAUGAAUUUCGGAAUUAUAUUCCUAAAUUUUCAAGAUUACUAAGAUUCCAAAAAUUUGUAAUAUGCCAAAACUUCCUAAUUUAAAAUUUGUGCUCCGAUUUGAUCCGAUUGGAUUUGUAAUGAACUUUUAUAUUUUAUUGUUAGUUUUGGAUACCUUUUAUUCAUUUUUUUUGUAUUAAACAUAUACUUAUACAUUAAAAAGAAAAACGUACUAUUAUAACAAAAAUUAAUUGAAUUUAUAUAUAAGCAUAUACUAAAUACUGAGAAAGAAAAUAAAUUGCAUAUACAAAAAAGUUUGAUAGUAUUAAAAAACAUAUGAAUUCUAUGAAUUUCCGAAUCAGUAAUGCUAUUCUUACCAUAUUUUUAUACCACAUUUAUAUAUUACCUUAUGUGGCAUUUGAUGUGGACAACCACAUCAUUUAAAUUAAUCAAAAUUUAAUUUAAAUUAAAAACCAUUUAAUAAACCAAAAAUUAAAAAAAAAAAACUGGAAUUAAAUGGUGAUUGUGGCAUACGAAAAGUCUUCUCUUUCCUUCCUCGUUCAAUCCUACUUCUUCUCCCGUUUCUUCUUCCACGCUAGUUCUUUUACGUCAAUUUUUCAGGUCAGUCAAAUCCACCAGCUUUGGGCUUACCAUUCCCUCAGGGUUUUGUUUUUUGGAACUCAUGAGCAACUUCCCAGUGGGUCACCCAUCCUGUGAGCGCUCUGGCCUCUUUCUCGCUUAACUUCGGAGUUCCUACGGAACCCGAAGCCCGUGAGCUCUCAAAAUGCCUCGUGCUAGGUAGGGAUGAGAAUAUACAUUUAAGGAUCACUCCCUUGGGCGAUGUGGGAUGUCACAAUCCAAAUAUACAUUUAAGGAUCACUCCCUUGGGCGAUGUGGGAUGUCACAAUCCAAAUAUACAUUUAAGGAUCACUCCCUUGGGCGAUGUGGGAUGUCACAAUCCACCCCCCUUAGGGGCCCGACGUCCUCGUCGGCACACUUCCGACCAGGGAUUAGCUCUGAUACCAUUUGUCACAUCCCAGCCAGGGGCGGACCACUUCCCCGGCCCGCUCCACCACCGUAGCACGAUAUUGUCCGCUUUGGGCUUACCAUUCCCUCAUGGUUUUGUUUUUGGGAACUCACGAGCAACUUCCCAGUGGGUCACCCAU